This is a non-coding RNA of Ectocarpus siliculosus, 82 nucleotides long. Lineage: Eukaryota; Phaeophyceae; Ectocarpales; Ectocarpaceae. The record is from Rfam.
GUCGACGUGGCCGAGUGGUUAAGGUGACGGCCUGCUAAGCCGUUGGGCUAUGCCCGCGAGAGUUCGAAUCUCUUCGUCGACG